ACUAACAAGGAUUCCCCUAGUAACUGCGAGUGAACCGGGAAAAGCUCAAAUUUUGAAUCUGGCGGUCUUUCGGCCGUCCGAGUUGUAAUCUAGAGAAGCGUCUUCCGCGCUGGACCGUGUAUAAGUUUCCUGGAAUGGAACGUCGUAGAGGGUGAGAAUCCCGUCUUUGACACGGACUGCCAGGGCUAUGCGAUGCGCUCUCGACGAGUCGAGUUGUUUGGGAAUGCAGCUCAAAUAGGGUGGUAAAUUCCAUCUAAAGCUAAAUACAGGCGAGAGACCGAUAGCGAACAAGUACCGUGAGGGAAAGAUGAAAAGAACUUUGGAAAGAGAGUUAAACAGUACGUGAAAUUGCUGAAAGGGAAACGCUUGAUGUCAGUCGCGUCGGCCGGGGAUCAGCCUUGCUCUUUUGCUCGGCGUACUUCCUGGUCGACGGGUCAGCAUCGGUUUUGACCGUCGGAAAAUGGCUCGAGGAAUGUGGCACUCUUCGGGGUGUGUUAUAGACUCGGGUCGAAUGCGACGGUCGGGACCGAGGAACUCAGCACGACCCUUCGGGGUUCGGGGCUUCGGCUCACGUUUGACGUGCUUAGGAUGCUGGCAUAAUGGCCUUAAGCGACCC
Molecule: ribosomal RNA, 616 nt
Filed under: Suillus placidus
Lineage: Eukaryota; Fungi; Basidiomycota; Agaricomycetes; Boletales; Suillaceae
Description: eukaryotic LSU rRNA
Rfam family: Eukaryotic large subunit ribosomal RNA
Source: RNAcentral